The sequence is a transfer RNA, 74 nucleotides long. It matches the Rfam family "tRNA". From Rfam's summary of the family: Transfer RNA (tRNA) molecules are approximately 80 nucleotides in length. Their secondary structure includes four short double-helical elements and three loops (D, anti-codon, and T loops).
GCGCUCUUAGCUCAAUCGGAUAGAGCAACGACCUUCUAAGCCGUAGGUUACAGGUUCAAAUCCUGUAGGGCGCA